GGCCAACACACCAAACUGGACCAAUAGCACAAAUAUUGAUCGAAAGCGUGAACCAUGCCAUCAGCCUCGACCUACAAGCAUUCCGACUGGGAAGCGUCCUAGCUCGCAAGAACGUCACCAAGUUACUCUUCACCAUAUCCUGUGCUCUCAAACCUGGUCAAUGAAAUAACCAGUGGCAAGCCAAUGAGUACUUUUGAUUGUACUCGCAAACAGCCCAUGAUAUGAACAAUGCAAGUGAAGGAUAACAAAAAUAUGUAUCUUUGGUGGACAACAACUUGGUUGUAAUAAACAUGAUCAUGGGUUUGCAACAUAAGUUAAAUGUUACUUGAAGAACAGGUUACAAAUACCAAUAUAUCUGUCGAGGGGUGAACACUCCGGGUUCACCCAAUAUGCCAAGUCACCAAACUUGGUCAUAUCAACUAUUUAUUAAUAACACCAUACUCACACAGACUUGGUUUAUGUGGAAACGACUGGGUGUAGUUUAAGCAACACCAGCCAACUGUCUUUGACCGUGGACACGGCUAGUCGAAUAGUUUUACACUCUGCAAAGGUAGUACACUAGACCCAUGAGAUCCGGGAAACUUCCGUGUCAUCCACGACUCACGGUAUAUAACAUACCCGAGGUAAAUAACAGAUCAAUGCCUUUCCCCUGACGAUACUAGAAAAAGAGGUCCACUCGAUUGGUACCCAAGCCACAUGUUGUACAUCUUACGAGCACCGACUCUGGACAGUAUCAACCAUGCGGGGACCAACAGUGUGUGUGGAUCACGUAAAAUAGGCAUAUUCUCCCUACCUUGCACGACCCCAUCACGAGAGUGACCGCACAUCACUCCCGCCACUAGUAAUGUGGCUCUUUGCUAGCACCGAUCAGAGUAAUCAACAAAUCCC
Molecule: long non-coding RNA, 888 nt
Filed under: Hordeum vulgare
Lineage: Eukaryota; Viridiplantae; Streptophyta; Magnoliopsida; Poales; Poaceae
Description: long non-coding RNA (HVUL_LNC007376)
Source: RNAcentral